Molecule: small nuclear RNA, 107 nt
Filed under: Carlito syrichta (Philippine tarsier)
Lineage: Eukaryota; Metazoa; Chordata; Mammalia; Primates; Tarsiidae
Source: RNAcentral
GCAUUCACUUUGGCAGCACAUAUACCAAAACUGGAAUGAUACAGGGUAGAUUAGCAUAGCCCCUGUGAAAGGAUGAUGUGCAAAUUCAUGAAGUAUUCCCUAUUAUU